UGCUAGAAAACUAAGUGAGUCAGACCAGGAACUACAAUUGUUCAAAUACCACAAAGGCCCUCUUCUCAGUGGCAAAAUCUCAAUCAACCUCAUAUGGUAUGGAAAAUUCAAGCCAUCACAACGAGCCAUAAUCUCAGACUUCAUAACCUCCCUUUCUUCCUCUCCAUCCAAACCCACAUCACAACCUUCUGUUGCUAAGUGGUGGAAAACCACCGAGAAAUACUACCACCUCACCACCACCAGAAACAACAAGUCACCAAACCUAGCUCUUUCCCUCGGUACCCAAAUCCUUGAUGAGAACUACUCUCUUGGAAAAUCACUCAAUGAUAACCAAAUCUUGAAGCUUGCAUCAAAGGGUGCCCAAAAGAACGCCAUCAACGUUGUUCUCACAGCCGCUGACGUAACCGUUGAUGGGUUCUGCUCCAGCAAGUGUGGGUCCCACGGUUCCUCGGCGGGUGCUCGUAUCAAUGGAAAGAGGUACAAGUUUGCAUAUAUAUGGGUUGGUAACUCUGAAACACAGUGCCCUGGUCAAUGCGCGUGGCCUUUUCUUAUAUCACUGGAUUAUUCUCCAAUAGUAUUUGUGAUGGAAAAUUGCUAAACCAAGAAGCAGGUCCAGCAAAUAUUUCGUGAGGAAGAAAAAGUGUUUUAUAUGCGUGCCCUUCAACAAACGGAAAUCAAGUUUGUCUUGUCCCUAAAAUCCAAAUAAAUGCCGUUAAUAAUUAUACUCACCUUAGUUGGCCAUGCCUAUCCUCGCGUAUCUUAUGACUCACCUGUCAUGACAGCAUGACUUAUAGGAAAAUAAUAAAUAAUUCGAUCGAACCAUGAAAGCACGCCUCAUAAACCCAUUGAAUUUGGUUCAUAGAUUCGAAAAGCAACACGUUAACAAGCAAGCUGGCACCUCCACUACUACCUCACUCCACACACCAUCCCCCGAAUUAUACUUUAAUUGACUUCAAAACUAGAGACUAUCACAUGUAUGAGAGUCCUACUUAUUGAAAUUUGAGGAAAAUAAAUAAACAUAAUUUUAUAUCUAUUCAAUAAGUAGAAAGAUAAUUUCAUUGAUUUGUUAACCACCAUUGACUCCCAAACAAGAGUAAUAUAAAUCAAUAGUGAAUGAUAUAAUGACAAUUGACAAUGUAAAGUGUACAAAUUUUAAACUUAAACAACAAUCUUAUGAGCUAUACAUGGCAAAACUAGUGGAUGAAGAAGUUUUCUAUUACUUCCCUUGGCCUUCCUUCGUAUGUAUGCCAAUCUUCUUCUACUAUAUAUACCUGCUACCACAUCCUUCUUCUCAACACCUCACCUUACAACUGCUUACUUAUUACACUGUUUCCUUCUAUCUCUCUGUACAAAAUACAAAUGGCCCCUCUUGCAUAUUCAAGCAUUCUCUUAACCCUAUUUCUCACACUCUCUCUUUUUCAUUCUAGCUUAGCUGCUAGAAAACUAAGUGAGUCAGACCAGGAACUACAAUUGUUCAAAUACCACAAAGGCCCUCUUCUCAGUGGCAAAAUCUCAAUCAACCUCAUAUGGUAUGGAAAAUUCAAGCCAUCACAACGAGCCAUAAUCUCAGACUUCAUAACCUCCCUUUCUUCCUCUCCAUCCAAACCCACAUCACAACCUUCUGUUGCUAAGUGGUGGAAAACCACCGAGAAAUACUACCACCUCACCACCACCAGAAACAACAAGUCACCAAACCUAGCUCUUUCCCUCGGUACCCAAAUCCUUGAUGAGAACUACUCU
Molecule: long non-coding RNA, 1740 nt
Filed under: Lupinus angustifolius (narrow-leaved blue lupine)
Lineage: Eukaryota; Viridiplantae; Streptophyta; Magnoliopsida; Fabales; Fabaceae
Description: long non-coding RNA (LANG_LNC000353)
Source: RNAcentral